Non-coding RNA from Cinara cedri, 720 nucleotides. NCBI's taxonomy places the organism in Eukaryota, Metazoa, Arthropoda, Insecta, Hemiptera, Aphididae. The record is from the annotation of a GenBank genome assembly.
GGAAUUUUUCUGUACCGGCCGAAACGGUUUUACCCGCGUUAAACCAAAUGAUAUACGAACGGCUCGGAAAUCGUCAGACCGACCGUCGAAUCACCGGGUACAUCCGGAAUGCACAAAUCUAAAAAGCGCGUUCCGCAUAAACGCCAGGCCUCCGCGAUUGUUUUUCGACCGAAUCAUAAAACAGAAUCGGAAAACAACGGAAUCCGACGAUUUGAUGCCGUGCGCUUUCCCGUGUUACCACUGCAACAGCGGCGUGGCGAGAGGACCGUUUCGGUGUUCAAACACCCUGCCCCCCUCAACCCCCCUUUGACUACGUUUAUGCCAGAAAUUAUAAUUUUUUACUAUACGCAAUUACGCAUCAGAUUUCCACAAGAUGUGUUGUGUAACGCACGGGUAAUAAUUGAGUAAGACAAAAUAAAAACAUCUGAUUUACCACUGACAAGCGGACCGUCAAAACAUCACGCGAGACGCGACAACUUGCCACAUGCUCCGCACGUGGGUGCGGCCACUGUUGCAGGCGGGAGAUGGGGGAGGCAGGAUACGCACGGGAAUUGAAUGCAUAUCCGUAAGCAACGAUAAACCAUUGCUAACGAAAAAACUAUUCUGAGCGGAGUUCAGUUGAUAGUGUCGCUUUGUCAACAAUACAAUAAAUGGUCAUAUGUCAUAUUGUGAUCAAAUGAUUACAACAAUGUGCGUUUCCGUGGCAACAAUGAUUGUUUA